GGAUAGCUCAGUUGGUAAGAGCGUGAGUCUCUCAAUCUCAGGGUUGUGAUCCUCGUGGUCCCUUCCUAGGGGACAUGGCUGGCUCAGUGGUUUAGACCACAGACCUCUUGGGCUUGCCGAUCAGAAGGUCGGUGGUUCAAAUCCCCGUGAUGGGGUGAGCU
Non-coding RNA from Podarcis lilfordi (Lilford's wall lizard), 161 nucleotides. NCBI's taxonomy places the organism in Eukaryota, Metazoa, Chordata, Lepidosauria, Squamata, Lacertidae. The record is from the annotation of a GenBank genome assembly.